RNAcentral lists this long non-coding RNA (880 nucleotides) under Glycine max (soybean). RNAcentral describes it as "long non-coding RNA (GMAX_LNC001811)". The record is from RNAcentral. Lineage: Eukaryota; Viridiplantae; Streptophyta; Magnoliopsida; Fabales; Fabaceae.
AGAGACAGAGGUGGCAGCGUGAGGUGGUAGCAAGCUGGUGGUGGUGUUAGGAUUUCGACAAAGAAAGGUUUUGAGAGAGAGGGGGGGAUGAACACAACGAGUGAAGAUGAUCAUAUAUGAGACCUUGUGUUUUAGUUUUAGAAGCAAAUUCAACAUUAGUUGUAGAGAACGAUGUAAUUAACAACUCAAAUCUUAUAGGGGUUCCUACAGAUCCAAUGUUAGAAACUCAAAUCUUACAUCAAUUUAUACAAAGGAUAAGAUGCAGAGAUCAUUGUGAUUUUUGAGCCAAGGUUGGGUCCAUGCAUGAAUGCAAUUUCCAUUGCCAAUCCUCCAUUACACGCUUUCUUUUACCACUAUCCUUGAAGCAUGGAUAUUGUGUCAUAUAAAACCUGGAUUGUGCCCUCAUUAAGCUUUCAAGAUAUUCACCGUUGGAAAACAUUUGACUUCAAAAACUUGAGCUACUAUAAUAUCUUGGUUGGUCAUCCAUCUCUAAGCUUGUUUCCCUAGCAUGACAAGGUUAAAAGCAUGCAAUUGCUUGAAGCUCAUUCCUUCAUGUUCCUUCUUCAUAGUCAUCUUGUCCCAAACUUAGCCACUUAAUUCCUUUUCUUUGUUGGUUGUUAGAGUCUCACCAAAAAGAAGUCAUCAUCUUCUGUAAUUCAUCUUGUAGCUAGAGUGAAGGGAAGCAAGUAGACAAUCAUGCAAUAAGUUGGAAUUGAUUGAGCAACACAUUUAACAAGAAUUUCUUUACUCGCCUUUGAAAGUUGUUUACUCGUCAAAUGAUUGAUGUGGUUUCAAAUUCUAUCUUUGAUGAGGUCAAAUACUAUUUUUCUCCAUUUGCCAACAGAAGGUAGUUUCAAAUAUUUGGUGGAGCCAAUAGUCU